Molecule: ribosomal RNA, 468 nt
Filed under: uncultured bacterium
Lineage: Bacteria
Description: partial 16S ribosomal RNA
Rfam family: Bacterial small subunit ribosomal RNA
Source: RNAcentral
GACGAACGCUGGCGGCGUGCUUAACACAUGCAAGUCGAACGGAAAGGCCCUGCUUUUGUGGGGUGCUCGAGUGGCGAACGGGUGAGUAACACGUGAGUAACCUGCCCUUGACUUUGGGAUAACUUCAGGAAACUGGGGCUAAUACCGGAUAGGAGCUCCUGCUGCAUGGUGGGGGUUGGAAAGUUUCGGCGGUUGGGGAUGGACUCGCGGCUUAUCAGCUUGUUGGUGGGGUAGUGGCUUACCAAGGCUUUGACGGGUAGCCGGCCUGAGAGGGUGACCGGCAACAUUGGGACUGAGAACGGGCCCAGACUCCUCGGGGAGGCAGCGGGGGGGAAUAUGCACCAAGGGGCGGGGGCUGGAUCCAGCAGCGCCGGGUGCGGAAGGACGGCCUUCGGUUGUAAAACCGCUUCCCCCUGGGACGAAGGGGGAGGGAGGGUAAUGGAAAAAAAAGCACCGGCUAACUAGGGG